This 236-nucleotide unclassified non-coding RNA is filed under the name Hevea brasiliensis (rubber tree). The record is from RNAcentral. Lineage: Eukaryota; Viridiplantae; Streptophyta; Magnoliopsida; Malpighiales; Euphorbiaceae.
GGGCAGCUAGGAUCAGAUGGACGCAUAGUCUUCUCUUCUUCAAGUAUCUGAACAGGACAUAAUGUUGGGUUCUGCCGAUUUGGAAAAAAUAUUUUCCUCCGGAUGCCUGGAUUCUCAUAGAGUACAUGCUCCCCUGGAUCUUUUGGAGACACAUAAGGUUCCCCUUUUCUCAGAAUGCUGAAAUGAUUGAAGUCUAAUUCAUACAUAUCAUCACAGCCAUGCCUUAUACCAAGCGA